AAACUUGAGAGUUUGAUCCUGGCUCAGAACGAACGCUGGCGGCAUGCCUAACACAUGCAAGUCGAACGAGACCUUCGGGUCUAGUGGCGCACGGGUGC
Molecule: non-coding RNA, 98 nt
Filed under: Sphingomonas sp. MJ1 (PH-R8)
Lineage: Bacteria; Pseudomonadati; Pseudomonadota; Alphaproteobacteria; Sphingomonadales; Sphingomonadaceae
Description: partial 16S ribosomal RNA
Rfam family: Bacterial small subunit ribosomal RNA
Source: RNAcentral